RNAcentral lists this ribosomal RNA (283 nucleotides) under Hoplopleura inagakii. RNAcentral describes it as "partial large subunit ribosomal RNA". It matches the Rfam family "Archaeal large subunit ribosomal RNA", at positions 2032 to 2546 of the family's 2987-position model. The record is from RNAcentral. Lineage: Eukaryota; Metazoa; Arthropoda; Insecta; Psocodea; Hoplopleuridae.
GGUAGCAUAAUAACUUGCCUCUUUAUUGGGGGCUGGAAUGAAUGGUUAAACCAGGGCCCAACUGUCUCAUUUGUAAGAUCUUAAUUUAGAUUUUAAGUGAAAAUGCUUAAAUGUGUCAGAGGGACGAGAAGACCCUAUAGAUCUUGAGUUAUUUCUACCAAGAAUUGGUGGAACUUAACUUUACCUGGGAAGGGGCUCUCAAACACUUUAUAGAAUACGAAAGAUAGUUCUAAUAUGAUGAUCCAGUAUUUACUGAAUAUAGAAUAAGUUACCUUAGGGAUAA